RNAcentral lists this small RNA (76 nucleotides) under Chryseobacterium sp. 8AT. RNAcentral's name for it is "Flavo-1". It matches the Rfam family "Flavo-1 RNA". The record is from RNAcentral. Lineage: Bacteria; Pseudomonadati; Bacteroidota; Flavobacteriia; Flavobacteriales; Weeksellaceae.
CUCUAGCCUCGAUUGCAACGGCAUCCUUUUGUGUAGCGAAGCGAAACAAAAGAUAUAGUGGAAAGCGGGAUUAAGC